RNAcentral lists this ribosomal RNA (515 nucleotides) under uncultured bacterium. RNAcentral describes it as "partial 16S ribosomal RNA". It matches the Rfam family "Bacterial small subunit ribosomal RNA", at positions 28 to 523 of the family's 1533-position model. The record is from RNAcentral.
GAUGAACGCUGGCGGCGUGCCUAAUACAUGCAAGUCGAGCGAAUGGAUUAAGAGCUUGCUCUUAUGAAGUUAGCGGCGGACGGGUGAGUAACACGUGGGUAACCUGCCCAUAAGACUAGGAUAACUCCGGGAAACCGGGGCUAAUACCGGAUAACAUUUUGAACCGCGUGGUUCGAAAUUGUAAGGCGGCUUCGGCUGUCACUUAUGGAUGGACCCGCGUCGCAUUAGCUAGUUGGUGAGGUAGCGGCUCACCAAGGCAACGAUGCGUAGCCGACCUGAGAGGGUGAUCGGCCACCCUGGGACUGAGACACGGCCCAGACUCCUACGGGAGGCAGCAGUAGGGAAUCUUCCGCAAUGGACGAAAGUCUGACGGAGCAACGCCGCGUGAGUGAUGAAGGCUUUCGGGUCGUAAAGCUCUGUUGUUAGGGAAGAACAAGUGCUAGUUGAAUAAGCUGGCACCUUGACGGUACCUAACCAGAAAGCCACGGCUAACUACGUGCCAGCCGCCGCGGUAA